Molecule: small RNA, 514 nt
Filed under: Lauriomyces bellulus
Lineage: Eukaryota; Fungi; Ascomycota; Leotiomycetes
Description: eukaryotic LSU rRNA
Rfam family: 5.8S ribosomal RNA (bases 172-325)
Source: RNAcentral
GGCGGAGGGAUCAUUACAGAGUUAUCUAACUCCCACCCUUUGUUUAACUAUACCUUUGUUGCUUUGGCAGGCCUGCCUUACAGCUCCCGGCCACUUGGCUGGGUCGUGCCUGCCAGAGGACCUAAAACUCUUAUUAUUCAGUAUUGUCUGAGCCAUGAUUUAAUCAUAUAAAACUUUUAACAACGGAUCUCUUGGUUCUGGCAUCGAUGAAGAACGCAGCGAAAUGCGAUACGUAAUGUGAAUUGCAGAAUUCAGUGAAUCAUCGAAUCUUUGAACGCACAUUGCGCCCCUUAGUAUUCUAGGGGGCAUGCCUGUUCGAGCGUCAUUACAACCCUCAAGCUCUGCUUGGUAUUGGGCCGUGCCGGUUAGGCAGGCCUCAAAAUGAGCGGCAGGACUCGUAUCAGACCUGAGCGUAGUAAUUCUUUCUCGCUUUGGGGACGGUGCGGCCUCGCCAAACACCAUAUUUUUUACAGGUUGACCUCGGAUCAGGUAGGGUUACCCGCUGAACUUAAGC